RNAcentral lists this unclassified non-coding RNA (240 nucleotides) under soil metagenome. RNAcentral describes it as "partial contains 5.8S ribosomal RNA, internal transcribed spacer 2, and large subunit ribosomal RNA". The record is from RNAcentral.
AACUGAUACUACCUGCGGGAACCUGCGGAAGGAUCAUUACCGAGUUUACAACUCCCAAACCCAAUGUGAACGUUACCAAACUGUUGCCUCGGCGGGAUCUCUGCCCCGGGUGCGUCGCAGCCCCGGACCAAGGCGCCCGCCGGAGGACCAACCAAAACUCUUUUGUAUACCCCCUCGCGGGUUUUUAUAUAUCUGAGCCAUCUCGGCGCCUCUCGUAGGCGUUUCGAAAAUGAAUCAAAA